UACAGAGGUCUCAAGCGUUGUCCGGAUUCAUUGGGCGUAAAGAGCGCGUAGGCGGCCCGGAAAGUGGGGUGUGAAAGCCCGGGGCUCAACCCCGGGUCGCCGUCGAGACUCCUCGGCUCGAGCACUGUAGAGGCAGAUGGAAUUCCUGGUGUAGCGGUGAAAUGCGCAGAUAUCAGGAGGAACACCGGUGGCGAAGGCGGGUCUCUGGGCCGUAACUGACGCUGAGGAGCGAAAGCAUGGGGAGCGAACAGG
Molecule: ribosomal RNA, 252 nt
Filed under: uncultured bacterium
Lineage: Bacteria
Description: partial 16S ribosomal RNA
Rfam family: Bacterial small subunit ribosomal RNA
Source: RNAcentral